RNAcentral lists this ribosomal RNA (496 nucleotides) under uncultured bacterium. RNAcentral describes it as "partial 16S ribosomal RNA". It matches the Rfam family "Bacterial small subunit ribosomal RNA", at positions 28 to 506 of the family's 1533-position model. The record is from RNAcentral.
GAUGAACGCUGGCGGCGUGCCUAAUACAUGCAAGUCGAGCGAACAGACGAGGAGCUUGCUCCUCUGACGUUAGCGGCGGACGGGUGAGUAACACGUGGAUAACCUACCUAUAAGACUGGGAUAACUUCGGGAAACCGGAGCUAAUACCGGAUAAUAUAUUGAACCGCAUGGUUCAAUAGUGAAAGACGGUUUUGCUGUCACUUAUAGAUGGAUCUGCGCCGCAUUAGCUAGUUGGUAAGGUAACGGCUUACCAAGGCGACGAUGCGUAGCCGACCUGAGAGGGUGAUCGGCCACACUGGAACUGAGACACGGUCCAGACUCCUACGGGAGGCAGCAGUAGGGAAUCUUCCGCAAUGGGCGAAAGCUUGACGGAGCAACGCCGCGUGAGUGAUGAAGGUCUUCGGAUCGUAAAACUCUGUUAUUAGGGAAGAACAAAUGUGUAAGUAACUAUGCACGUCUUGACGGUACCUAAUCAGAAAGCCACGGCUAACUACGU